Molecule: long non-coding RNA, 1257 nt
Organism: Anguilla anguilla (European eel)
Lineage: Eukaryota; Metazoa; Chordata; Actinopteri; Anguilliformes; Anguillidae
Exons: 3
Source: RefSeq, a predicted model, not a curated record
UGACCGUAAUCAGAUCCCCUGUAAUUUCCUCCCUCUCUGCGUGUUAUGACAUCGCGCUGUAAUUGCGCCGCGCGCGGGGAGAGGAAGGGCCGCUCUGGUGCCAGCGUGGCUCCGCGCCGAUCCCCCGCUCUCCCUGCGGAGCGCUUCCAUCGCCAAUCAGGGCCUCUAUUGUUCUCCCCGCGCGCGCGUUCUCCCCGCCGUCCCUGGGCCAAUCCCCUCCCCGGGGCUAGGGACGACACGUCGCCCGCGAGGCUGCGUCUGAUCGCCCGGGUGACGGGUCAGUCCCCGUCGCCCCAGCGCGGAGAUUUUUUUUUUUUUAUCAAAGCAAGAACAGCUCGUAACGCCAAUCAAGUGUCUGCGCCAGCCUUGCUGACGUCGCGGCGGCUUGAUGCUAAUUGCAGCCCUGGUGAACGUGCUUGAGUGAGCGAAGAAGAACUCAAGCCCUUUUUUUCACCAACUGUUACACUGACAAACAAGUCACCACCUGACAGGGGGGAGGAAGUGGCACGUUUGAAGUCACCAGCCUCUGACUGAAGCCAAACAACAGAACCCCUGGGUAUCUCUCACACAGACGAUGUGCGCUGGACUGGAAAUGAAUACUUUGUCUUUCUCUCCCUUCCUCUGUCUCUAUCUCUACUCCUCUUUCGCCUUUUUCUCUCAGUCCACCUUCCUCCUUCCCUCUCUCUUCCUCUCUUUAUCCCUCACUCUCUCAGUAGUUUGGCCCAAUUGGAGUGAUGGUCUCAUAGCGGUGUGUUGUCUUCUCACCUACUUAAAAGCUUUUUUCCUCUCUGUAGAAUGAUCCCAUACUUAAACCUCUGAGUCUGAGAUGGAUCAAAUUAGGAUGAAGACUGGACCCUGUAAUCUAGAAUAAGUCUAAGUGUGAUUGUUUUUCAAAAACUGACUGGUUAAAAUUGCAAACAAAUGGUGAAUGUACCUUUCCAUUCCAAGUAAUGCUAAUCGUUUUAAACACCACUUAGAAUGAUUCAUAGGUUCAUUUUGUCAUUAUUUUAGCUGAUGGCAAAAUAAAAAUAAUAAAAAUGUAAUCCAUAAUUUCGUUAUGGAUUAGUAACAGCCAUUAAACCAGAUUUUAAUGGUUUAGGAAGGGCUAUUUCUCUCUCUUCUUCUCCAUCAUUAUCUUACUUCAUUGAUGGCUGUUUAAGGAUAGCCAAUACAACACCAAUCCAAAUAAGCAUCUAAGCCUUCACUGUUACAUUGCAGUGAAGUACAUCUAUAGGGUUUAUAUGUGUGUGUGUGUCU